This 690-nucleotide ribosomal RNA is filed under the name Klebsiella pneumoniae IS43. RNAcentral's name for it is "SSU rRNA". It matches the Rfam family "Bacterial small subunit ribosomal RNA", at positions 1 to 680 of the family's 1533-position model. Lineage: Bacteria; Pseudomonadati; Pseudomonadota; Gammaproteobacteria; Enterobacterales; Enterobacteriaceae. The record is from RNAcentral.
UUAAAUUGAAGAGUUUGAUCAUGGCUCAGAUUGAACGCUGGCGGCAGGCCUAACACAUGCAAGUCGAGCGGUAGCACAGAGAGCUUGCUCUCGGGUGACGAGCGGCGGACGGGUGAGUAAUGUCUGGGAAACUGCCUGAUGGAGGGGGAUAACUACUGGAAACGGUAGCUAAUACCGCAUAAUGUCGCAAGACCAAAGUGGGGGACCUUCGGGCCUCAUGCCAUCAGAUGUGCCCAGAUGGGAUUAGCUAGUAGGUGGGGUAACGGCUCACCUAGGCGACGAUCCCUAGCUGGUCUGAGAGGAUGACCAGCCACACUGGAACUGAGACACGGUCCAGACUCCUACGGGAGGCAGCAGUGGGGAAUAUUGCACAAUGGGCGCAAGCCUGAUGCAGCCAUGCCGCGUGUGUGAAGAAGGCCUUCGGGUUGUAAAGCACUUUCAGCGGGGAGGAAGGCGUUAAGGUUAAUAACCUUGGCGAUUGACGUUACCCGCAGAAGAAGCACCGGCUAACUCCGUGCCAGCAGCCGCGGUAAUACGGAGGGUGCAAGCGUUAAUCGGAAUUACUGGGCGUAAAGCGCACGCAGGCGGUCUGUCAAGUCGGAUGUGAAAUCCCCGGGCUCAACCUGGGAACUGCAUUCGAAACUGGCAGGCUAGAGUCUUGUAGAGGGGGGUAGAAUUCCAGGUGUAGCG